Molecule: non-coding RNA, 700 nt
Filed under: Trichostrongylus axei
Lineage: Eukaryota; Metazoa; Nematoda; Chromadorea; Rhabditida; Trichostrongylidae
Source: RNAcentral
CUUAUAAAGAUUGCUUUUAUAGAGUUAAAAUUUGAUUAUGGUUAAAAAAUAAUUAAAAUAAUAUUAUUUAAUUGUAAUUUAUAUAGUGGGCAAUAAGUUUUUACCCCGGUAAUGUAUUACUUGUAAAAAAUUUGUUCCAGAAUAAUCGGCUACACUAAUAAAGUUUAAACUUUAUUUUUGAUAAAUUAUAAUGUUUUGUAAAAUAGUUUAAGUAAUUUUAGGUUAAAUUUAAAUUGUUUUAAAAAGUGUGUUAUAAUUGUAAAGUUUGUAAAUCGAAUUAGAUUAGUACCUAAUUAGACAAAAUUUAAUAGUGCAGAAGUAAAGUAGUAUUUAAACUGAAAAAAUAUUGGCAGAUUUGUUAAAUUAUCUUUGGAGGUUGAGUAAUAAUUGAGAACCCUCAUUAUUUACUAAUACUUAUUGGCUCAUGUAUGAUUGUUUAUUAUACUUUUAAGAGGUAUAAUUAAAAUUUUUUGUUAUAAAAAUAAAUAUAUAUUUGGUUUAUGUAUAAGUUUAAUUUGACCUACAUUAUGUAAUUAUGUGGAUAAUUAAUGUAAAGUUAGUUUGAAAAUGUAAAAGACAGUAAAAAAUUUUUAUGGUUUUUUGAAGAUUAUUUAAAAAUGGUACAAAUCAUCCAUCAAUUGCCCACAGGGGAGUAAGUUGUAGUAAAGUAAAUUUAGGGGAACCUGAAUUUAAUAAAAAA